UGGGGAAUAUUGGACAAUGGGCGCAAGCCUGAUCCAGCCAUGCCGCGUGUGUGAAGAAGGCCUUUUGGUUGUAAAGCACUUUAAGCGAGGAGGCGGCUACUUGGAUUAAUACUCUAGGAUAGUGGACGUUACUCGCAGAAUAAGCACCGGCUAACUCUGUGCCAGCAGCCGCGGUAAUACAGAGGGUGCGAGCGUUAAUCGGAUUUACUGGGCGUAAAGCGUGCGUAGGCGGCUUUUUAAGUCGGAUGUGAAAUCCCUGAGCUUAACUUAGGAAUUGCAUUCGAUACUGGGAAGCUAGAGUAUGGGAGAGGAUGGUAGAAUUCCAGGUGUAGCGGUGAAAUGCGUAGAAAUCUGGAGGAAUACCGAUGGCGAAGGCAGCCAUCUGGCCUAAUAAUGACGCUGAGGUACGAAAGCAUGGGGAGCAAACAGG
This 430-nucleotide ribosomal RNA is filed under the name bacterium. RNAcentral describes it as "partial 16S ribosomal RNA". It matches the Rfam family "Bacterial small subunit ribosomal RNA", at positions 355 to 776 of the family's 1533-position model. The record is from RNAcentral.